Non-coding RNA from Caenorhabditis elegans, 223 nucleotides. The record is from Ensembl. NCBI's taxonomy places the organism in Eukaryota, Metazoa, Nematoda, Chromadorea, Rhabditida, Rhabditidae.
CCUAAGCCUGAGCCUAAGCUUAAGCAUAAGCCUAAGCCUGAGAUUAAGGCUAAGCCUAAACCUGUGCCUAAGCCUAAGGCUAAGCCUGAGACUAAAGAUGAGCCUAAGCCUAAGCCUACGCCUGAGCCUGGGCCUGCUGCUAAGCCUAAGCCUAAGCCUAAGCCUAAGCCUAGGCCUAAGCCUAAGCCUAAGCCUAAGGCUGAGCCUAAGCCUAAUAGAAAGC